GUCUAGAGCUGAACACACAUUCCUUUGUCUGCCCACAGGCUCAGUCACCUCAACGGAAGAACAGUCUGCAGGAGAAUUACGCUAACAAGAAGUGAACUCUACAGGUUGAAUUGAGAUAAUUCUGAGAUUAAGAGAUGGCUGACUACAGAGCUUUUCUGUCAUUAAUAGGUCUUCACCUGCUGCAAAGUGUUUGCAGUACAACUCCCUUUCCAUCAUGUGGCCCAGGACAAUUGGAAUGUACAACAGCAGUCACAGCUACUUCAAUUGAGACACCUCGUGUGGAAAGAGUACAAACAGAAAAAUGUGCAGCAGAACUGGAUGCAUUUUGCUUUCAUGGAGAGUGCAUGUUUCUUGUGGACUUAAAUGUACAUUCUUGCAGGUAAGAGGAGCACACAUAAGGAAGAAUUUC
Long non-coding RNA from Polyodon spathula (Mississippi paddlefish), 409 nucleotides. RefSeq lists it as uncharacterized. NCBI's taxonomy places the organism in Eukaryota, Metazoa, Chordata, Actinopteri, Acipenseriformes, Polyodontidae. The transcript is spliced from 3 exons. The record is from RefSeq and is a predicted model, not a curated record.